Molecule: ribosomal RNA, 483 nt
Filed under: uncultured bacterium
Lineage: Bacteria
Description: bacterial SSU rRNA
Rfam family: Bacterial small subunit ribosomal RNA
Source: RNAcentral
GGGCUCACACAAGCGGUGGAGCAUGUGGCUUAAUUCGAGGCUACGCGAAGAACCUUAUCCCAGACUUGACAUGUUCGAAAGAGGCUGCAGGUAGAACCCGGAAACGGGAACGAACGGUAUCCAAUCCGGAAGCAGCCACAGGUGCUGCAUGGCUGUCGUCAGCUCGUGUCGUGAGAUGUCGGGUUAAGUCCCAUAACGAGCGAAACCCUUACCCUGAGUUGCUACCCGCAAGGGGCACUCUCGGGGGACUGCCGGUGUCAAACCGGAGGAAGGUGGGGAUGACGUCAAGUCCUCAUGGCCUUUAUGUUUGGGGCUGCACACGUGCUACAAUGGCGUGAACAGAGGGAUGCGACCACGCGAGUGGAAGCCGACCCCCGAAAACACGCCCCAGUUCAGAUCGCAGGCUGCAACUCGCCUGCGUGAAGCCGGAAUCGCUAGUAAUCGCGGGUCAGCAACACCGCGGUGAAUGUGUUCCUGAGCCUU